This 465-nucleotide ribosomal RNA is filed under the name uncultured bacterium. Its description in RNAcentral is "partial 16S ribosomal RNA". It matches the Rfam family "Bacterial small subunit ribosomal RNA", at positions 28 to 507 of the family's 1533-position model. The record is from RNAcentral.
GAUGAACGCUGGCGGCGUGCUUAACACAUGCAAGUCGAACGGAAAGGCCCAAGCUUGCUUGGGUACUCGAGUGGCGAACGGGUGAGUAACACGUGGGUGAUCUGCCCUGCACUUCGGGAUAAGCCUGGGAAACUGGGUCUAAUACCGGAUAGGACCACAUUUUGGAUGGUGUGGUGGAAAGUUUUUCGGUGUGGGAUGAGCUCGCGGCCUAUCAGCUUGUUGGUGGGGUAAUGGCCUACCAAGGCGUCGACGGGUAGCCGGCCUGAGAGGGUGUACGGCCACAUUGGGACUGAGAUACGGCCCAGACUCCUACGGGAGGCAGCAGUGGGGAAUAUUGCACAAUGGGCGCAAGCCUGAUGCAGCGAUGCCGCGUGGGGGAUGACGGCCUUCGGGUUGUAAACUCCUUUCGCUAGGGACGAAGCGCAAGUGACGGUACCUGGAGAAGAAGCACCGGCUAACUACGUG